Molecule: long non-coding RNA, 1098 nt
Organism: Columba livia (rock pigeon)
Lineage: Eukaryota; Metazoa; Chordata; Aves; Columbiformes; Columbidae
Exons: 2
Source: RefSeq, a predicted model, not a curated record
GGGCGUGUCCGCCAUGAUGGCUACCGAGGCGGAAGUGAGUGCGGUGACAGCGUUGUUGCCUGUGUAGGAAUGGUGACCUCUUUCUGCUCCUCCUCAGAGCGGGGCCGGGCGAGUCCCGCUCGGAACAGGGAGCUUGGGGCGCCCGUCCUGCGGACCCGCGGUUGCCCUGGAGAAGGGACUUGCCCUGAGGUGCUACCAGGCCGUGGUCCUGUGCUGCUCCUGCCUGGGAAGGGCCCCCUCGGCGGGCUGUGGAGGCCGCGGGGCUCGGCCUGGUGCCGUGAGGGGAAGCCGGGGCAGAGGCAGGCCGAGAGGGAGGGCCGCACUACAACCAUAGCUGUAACCUGCUGGGAUGCAUCUUCUUAUCAAACUUCGGCAAAUCCACAUGCGGGCAUGUGAAGCAAAAGGCUCUUCGAUGUAUCUACAGGUUAACACGGCCUUUUCCUGAGCGUGCAAUUUAGAAGAGAGCCCACAAGAGGUCCCCAAAGACAUUUUUUUCCAGAGAGCUAUAGCAACAAUGUAAAUCACACCAUUUGGGUCAGGGAGUUGUCAGAGAAAGCGCUGGGAAGAAGGGGGCCCUUGGCAUACAAAGAAAGCAAUUAUUUUAAGCAGUUUGUCAUGAAUGUAAAGCUUUACUAAGAAGUCAGGUAAAUAGUAAUAAUAAUCACAGUGUCGUUUCCUAAGACCUACACCUGUCAGUAACCAAGUAAUGACCGCUGCAUUUUCUUGUCUGCAAGCCUUGGUGCGCACCCUGUGAAAUGGGUUUAUGAUUGAUUCCAGUACAGGCAGUUUAAACACAAGAUCAAACCUCGCAGAGGAGCCUGGCUUCCCAGCCGGGUAGUUGGGAAUUUGGUAUUGUUGGGCUGCAGGUCACAGUAGCCUGAAAUCAGCACGUCACCUUGUGAUGGUGGGUGUUAUUCAUAGAUUGUAAAUCUGUGGACUUUAAAUCAGGAGGAGCUACUAUGCUCAUUUAACUGUCUUGGUGCAGCAGAAUGUUGUAGUUUGCUCAGUAACACGUCCUGAGGGCAGUGCCUGCUGUUCAGUUUUACCGUCUGUCUGGCGAAAGGUAUCAAGUCCUGAUUAAAGAAUUAAAAAACUGAA